This 497-nucleotide ribosomal RNA is filed under the name uncultured bacterium. RNAcentral describes it as "partial 16S ribosomal RNA". It matches the Rfam family "Bacterial small subunit ribosomal RNA", at positions 28 to 507 of the family's 1533-position model. The record is from RNAcentral.
GAUGAACGCUGGCGGCGUGCCUAAUACAUGCAAGUCGAGCGAACAGACGAGGAGCUUGCUCCUUUGACGUUAGCGGCGGACGGGUGAGUAACGCGUGGAUAACCUACCUAUAAGACUGGGAUAACUUCGGGAAACCGGAGCUAAUACCGGAUAACAUGUUGAACCGCAUGGUUCAACAGUGAAAGACGGUCUUGCUGUCACUUAUAGAUGGAUCCGCGCCGCAUUAGCUAGUUGGUAAGGUAACGGCUUACCAAGGCAACGAUGCGUAGCCGACCUGAGAGGGUGAUCGGCCACACUGGAACUGAGACACGGUCCAGACUCCUACGGGAGGCAGCAGCAGGGAAUCUUCCGCAAUGGGCGAAAGCCUGACGGAGCAACGCCGCGUGAGUGAAGAAGGUCUUCGGAUCGUAAAACUCUGUUAUUAGGGAAGAACAAAUGUGUAAGUAACUAUGCACGUCUUGACGGUACCUAAUCAGAAAGCCACGGCUAACUACGUG